GUUACGGUGGCAGAGCCUGGCAAUUGCGAAAGGCCUAAGCCCUUUAGACAGAGGUUCAAUUCCUCUCCCUAACU
This 74-nucleotide transfer RNA is filed under the name Triphoturus nigrescens (highseas lampfish). RNAcentral describes it as "tRNA-Leu". It matches the Rfam family "tRNA". From Rfam's summary of the family: Transfer RNA (tRNA) molecules are approximately 80 nucleotides in length. Their secondary structure includes four short double-helical elements and three loops (D, anti-codon, and T loops). Lineage: Eukaryota; Metazoa; Chordata; Actinopteri; Myctophiformes; Myctophidae. The record is from RNAcentral.